RNAcentral lists this ribosomal RNA (273 nucleotides) under uncultured bacterium. RNAcentral describes it as "partial 16S ribosomal RNA". It matches the Rfam family "Bacterial small subunit ribosomal RNA", at positions 524 to 796 of the family's 1533-position model. The record is from RNAcentral.
UACGAACCGUCCAAACGUUAUUCGGAAUUACUGGGCUUAAAGGGUACGUAGGCGGCGCUGUCAGUCGGGUGUGAAAUCCCACGGCUCAACCGUGGAACUGCGCCCGAUACUGCAGUGCUUGAGGGAGACAGAGGUAAGCGGAACUGAUGGUGGAGCGGUGAAAUGCGUUGAUAUCAUCAGGAACACCAGUGGCGAAAGCGGCUUACUGGGUCUCUUCUGACGCUGAGGUACGAAAGCUAGGGGAGCGAAGGGGAUUAGAUACCCCUGUAGUCC